GGUAAAUGUUUUUCGUCUUUGUUUUGUAUUUUUUUACAUUUGUAGCUACGAAAUUGGCGUCACAAAUUUUAACGAAAUUUGCGAUGUAUUUUUCACUGUUUAGUGCUUGAAAUAUUUGCUAAAAUUGACUGGAAAUACUUAGAGUUUUCAUCGUAGAAUGGCGUGGUUAUAUUUAUUUGCUCUUUGACUAAAAUGUUUAGCUGUAUUAUUGCUAAAC
This is a non-coding RNA of Paramuricea clavata, 217 nucleotides long. The record is from the annotation of a GenBank genome assembly. Lineage: Eukaryota; Metazoa; Cnidaria; Anthozoa; Malacalcyonacea; Plexauridae.